Molecule: non-coding RNA, 369 nt
Organism: Camelina sativa (false flax)
Lineage: Eukaryota; Viridiplantae; Streptophyta; Magnoliopsida; Brassicales; Brassicaceae
Source: RefSeq, a predicted model, not a curated record
GGAAAAGACAUGAGGAUAAUUGUUUAUGGCUUUCGUCCUCGAACCAAGCAGAGACGUUCAGUGUUUGAUGCAUUACUGAAAUGUAGCAAGCCAGAGAGAGUAUGGGAUCUUUAUACUUUUGCUUGUGGGCCUUCCAAAUUUGGUAACGCAAACCCAAAGGAAAGAUUGCUUAAUGAAUAUUUCCGUCUUCUCGGAAAAAGUUCAAUACGAGCAUCAGCGGAUAUGAUUGAAGAUGGUUCGUUCACAUUGUCCAAUGAGCUGUGGCGAAUAAGUGACUUGAACUCCAAUUAUAACUUGUGUCAGACGUACCCAUUUGCCUUUAUGGUUCCAAAAUCCAUAAGGUAUGACACUGAUAUCUUUUCAGGAUUU